Molecule: long non-coding RNA, 220 nt
Filed under: Elaeis guineensis (African oil palm)
Lineage: Eukaryota; Viridiplantae; Streptophyta; Magnoliopsida; Arecales; Arecaceae
Description: long non-coding RNA (EGUI_LNC060110)
Source: RNAcentral
AAGGUCGACUUUAUCUAAUUUUUGGACUAUUAGGUUCAAAUCAAUCUUAGGACUAGAAUCUGAAUAUUUGAUCUUAUAGAAUGAUGGAAACAUCAAUGGAUUAUAGGUGGAAGGUAUAAAAUAUUCUUUCAUCUGCCUAAGUGGUUCUCAAGAUUUUCCAGCCAUUUGAUUAUUAGGUUUAACAUGGAUCAACCGUUCAAAUUUAAAAUUAGGUUCAACU